UACAUGGGGUGCAAACGUUGCUCGGAAUUAUUGGGCGUAAAGCGCGCGUAGGCGGUUUCUCAAGUCGGAUGUGAAAGCCCUCGGCUUAACUGAGGAAGUGCACCCGAAACUGAGUAGCUAGAGUACCAAAGAGGGUCGCGGAAUUCCCGGUGUAGAGGUGAAAUUCGUAGAUAUCGGGAGGAACACCGGUGGCGAAGGCGGCGACCUGGGUGGAUACUGACGCUGAGGCGCGAAAGCGUGGGGAGCAAACAGG
RNAcentral lists this ribosomal RNA (253 nucleotides) under uncultured bacterium. RNAcentral describes it as "partial 16S ribosomal RNA". It matches the Rfam family "Bacterial small subunit ribosomal RNA", at positions 524 to 776 of the family's 1533-position model. The record is from RNAcentral.